This 172-nucleotide small nuclear RNA is filed under the name Carlito syrichta (Philippine tarsier). RNAcentral's name for it is "U2 spliceosomal RNA (ENSTSYG00000024034.2)". The stretch from base 1 to 125 matches the Rfam family "U2 spliceosomal RNA". From Rfam's summary of the family: U2 is a small nuclear RNA (snRNA) component of the spliceosome (involved in pre-mRNA splicing). The record is from RNAcentral. Lineage: Eukaryota; Metazoa; Chordata; Mammalia; Primates; Tarsiidae.
UUUUAUCCUCAGCCUUUUGGCUAAGAUCAAGUGUAGCAUCUAUUCUUAUCAGUUUACAUAUUUGCUCACCUUCUGAAGGAGGUUGUAAUGAGAAUGAAGGAGGGUGAGAAAAACGAAAAUCCAUAGAUUCCUAAAAGCCUAAUUUCCCCUGUGUUUUUGCCUCCCACCAUCA